CGACGUCGGUUCCUCCUCCCGUCUGAAGACUGACGGGAGGAUUUUACGACGUCGCAGAGAAACUCGGGUCUUUUUCACCCAGGAGGCUUCAGGCUUCGGCCGGAAUCAAAGCCGCUCCUGGUUUUGCGGGACCCAACAAAA
Molecule: small nucleolar RNA, 141 nt
Organism: Cyprinodon tularosa
Lineage: Eukaryota; Metazoa; Chordata; Actinopteri; Cyprinodontiformes; Cyprinodontidae
Product: small nucleolar RNA SNORA79
Exons: 1
Source: RefSeq, a predicted model, not a curated record